UUUUUCGUUGUAGCAAUACGAUGGAAAGUCUAGUGGCGAACGGGUGCUUAACACGUGGGCAACCUGCCAGGAAGUGGGGGAUAGCUCGCCGAAAGGCGAAUUAAUACCGCAUGUGAUUAGAGAGGACAUCCUUUCGAAAUUAAAGUCGGGGCAACCUGACGCUUCUUGUGGGGCCCGCGGCCUAUCAGCUAGUUGGUGAGGUAACGGCUCACCAAGGCUUUGACGGGUAGCUGGUCUGAGAGGACGACCAGCCACACUGGGACUGAGACACGGCCCAGACACCUACGGGUGGCAGCAGUCGAGAAUUUUUGACAAUGGGGGAAACCCUGAUCGAGCGACGCCGCGUGGAGGAUGAAGGUCUUCGGAUUGUAAACUCCUGUCAUUGGGGAACAAGGUGCAUACGUUAACUGCGUGUGCAUUGAUAGUACCCGAAGAGGAAGAGACGGCUAACUCUGUGCCAGCAGCCGCGGUAAUACAGAGGUCUCAAGCGUUGUUCGGAUUCAUUGGGCGUAAAGGGUGCGUAGGCGGCGCGGUAAGUCGGGUGUGAAAUCUCGGAGCUUAACUUCGAAACUGCAUUCGAUACUGCCGUGCUUGAGGACUGGAGAGGAGACUGGAAUUUACGGUGUAGCGGUGAAAUGCGUAGAUAUCGUAAGGAAGACCAGUGGCGAAGGCGGGUCUCUGGACAGUUCCUGACGCUGAGGCACGAAGGUCAGGGGAGCAAACGGGAUUAGAUACCCCGGUAGUCCUGACAGUAAACGGUGCACGUUUGGUGUGGGAGGAUUCGACCCCCUUCUGCGCCGGAGCUAACGCGUUAAACGUG
This 820-nucleotide ribosomal RNA is filed under the name uncultured Verrucomicrobiota bacterium. RNAcentral's name for it is "bacterial SSU rRNA". It matches the Rfam family "Bacterial small subunit ribosomal RNA", at positions 67 to 868 of the family's 1533-position model. Lineage: Bacteria; Pseudomonadati; Verrucomicrobiota. The record is from RNAcentral.